Molecule: ribosomal RNA, 438 nt
Filed under: uncultured bacterium
Lineage: Bacteria
Description: bacterial SSU rRNA
Rfam family: Bacterial small subunit ribosomal RNA
Source: RNAcentral
CAGUGGGGAAUUUUGGACAAUGGACGCAAGUCUGAUCCAGCCAUGCCGCGUGCGGGAAGAAGGCCUUCGGGUUGUAAACCGCUUUUGUCAGGGAAGAAAAGGUUCUGGUUAAUACCUGGGACUCAUGACGGUACCUGAAGAAUAAGCACCGGCUAACUACGUGCCAGCAGCCGCGGUAAUACGUAGGGUGCAAGCGUUAAUCGGAAUUACUGGGCGUAAAGCGUGCGCAGGCGGUUAUGCAAGACAGAGGUGAAAUCCCCGGGCUCAACCUGGGAACUGCCUUUGUGACUGCAUAGCUAGAGUACGGUAGAGGGGGAUGGAAUUCCGCGUGUAGCAGUGAAAUGCGUAGAUAUGCGGAGGAACACCGAUGGCGAAGGCAAUCCCCUGGACCUGUACUGACGCUCAUGCACGAAAGCGUGGGGAGCAAACAGGAUUAGA